Molecule: long non-coding RNA, 663 nt
Organism: Fukomys damarensis (Damara mole-rat)
Lineage: Eukaryota; Metazoa; Chordata; Mammalia; Rodentia; Bathyergidae
Exons: 3
Source: RefSeq, a predicted model, not a curated record
AUUUCAGAAACAUCUACAGCUGAUAUUAUUUUGCAAGUGAAAUAAAUCCUGUCCUUGUCCCUGUAGCAUUCUGAUGUUUCCCACACUCUCAGUGAUGCUGAGUUUGGUUCAGCAGGUCUCCCUGGCAGGGCUCAGAAGAUGUUGGACAGAUGAAGUGUCCUCUCUGCAAAGGAAAUGGAGACAACUUACUGACUUCUAUAUGGCAGAAGGAUAUAUGCAUGCAAAAAAGAUACAUCAUACCGUGGGUCUAAAGACCUUUAAACAGACCGAAGAACCCUUCACCAUGUUGUUGGAUGAAAUGUGCAAACACACGGCUCCCCUUUGAGAAGCUGAUUCUAGGUUAAAUUUGGUCAUUUUGUCACGGUUCGCAUCCGGAGUGAGAAAUCACUCUUUCAAGUCCUAGAAUGUCCACAUUUCUUUAAUCAUCCCAGACUUCUCUAUGGACAGAUUUUCAUGAAGACUUUUGCUGCUCUGAGUAACUAGGUUAUGCUGCAGUUACAAAUAAACUCCGGAUUUUCAUUAUCUUCACAAAACAAAAGUUUAUUUCUUCUUGCUUAUUUAACUUGUUUCACCCAGUGACUCAUGGUCUAGGCAUUCUCUGAGUUUUACGCACCCCCUCAACACAUGUCGUCUUCCAAGUACCAGCUUUGAAGAUGCUUCCAA